UUAUUACGCCGCGUCUUUAACGCCACCUCCGUCGCUUUAAAGGAAUCUUCUUGCUCUUUUGCUGCCGCAGCUGCCGCCUUCUGAGCCCUGCCUUCGAUUCCAUUCCCGGUGACGCUUUCGUCUCUUUCCGAAGAAGACCGGCGGAAUAAAGAGGGCCCUCUUUUCGGGUCACGCGACUCCCGAGUCCCCUCUCUUUACGGUUCCCCUCGGGAAGUUUCUCCCGAACGCGAAGGCGUAAUCCGGAGGCGAUGGUUGGGGGAUCGGACGAGGGGUUCUUGGCGUCCUGCGAUACGGUUUUCGAUCGGUUGUAGAGGCGAAAGGAGCCUUCUUUUUCUGUUUCUUUGGGUCGAUUCUUGCGUGCUUGGUGGUUAAUUUGGGUUGUGGGUGUUUGUGGUGAUUGCUGGUGACGGGAUGGGGCCCCUCGUUCCUUUUGCGUAGUCGAUUCUUGGUGAUUUUUGGUUUAGGAAUUCUAUGAUUUGGGGUGUUUUGGGCUUCGUAAUCGUGGGUUUGGAUCAAUUGGUGUUAAGAUCUAAGUGGACGAGCAGGAAGCUGCGAUUUCUCCGGUAAGGAUUUUAGAGUUGGGUUGAUUUGGAAGGAGUGGCUGACAGAUUCUCUGAAAAUUUGGCUUUUGGUUCCGUGUUGGAUUUGGUGAGUUAUGAGUUAAUUCUUUGGUUCAACACGGAUGAACGCUGAGAAAUAGUUCUUUUUUUUAAUCGAAAAAGAAGUUAUUUUUUGUGUGUGUUUUCGAAGGGUUUAGAAGACACGGAAGCUGAAAAAUGGAGAACAUGAAUAGCUUUGAAGAAUCGUUCGAUAAUUCCGAUGUAGAAGAUGAAUUCCAAAGCUGUUGUACAGAAGACGAGGAGUGGCACGACACGGAGGAAUCUUUGGCCGAAGGGUUCAAGGAUGAUCUCGAUGAACUUUCGUUAAGGAUGUUCUUCAAGGGUGUCUCUGCCUCGGAUUUGCACAGUAAAGAAUCUAGGGUUUCUGGAAUUGGAGUAGUAAUGGAAAGGUCUCCUGGGAUUCCCUUAAUUCAAGUGCAGAAGAAGCUCGAUUUCCAUGUAGAAGCAUUGGUGGCCGAGCACUUGGCACUGAUGGAUGGUCUAUUGGCAGCUCUGCAGAAUGGUGCCCGAAGGCUCUAUGCGUUCACGGAUUCAGAGAAAGUUUAUUAUCAGAUAGCAGAAACAGAAAUACUUGAUGACCAACUUUUGGUAGCUCUAGGACACAGAAUUCUAGAACUUGCUGAUCAACUAGAAGAUUUUGACUUACAACUUGUUUCUAGUUUUGAACUAGAGAGGCCAUUGCGCUUGGCCAAAGAAGCAAUUGGUGACUGUGCAAUGGACACUUGUUCUAUCUGUAGUGAGGAAAAGAUAAGUUCCAAGAUGAUAAAGAUAAAUUGUUCUCACAAAUUUUGUUCUGAUUGCAUGUUUAUAUAUGUUGAACACAAGUUAAGGACCUUACAGGUUCCUAUAAGAUGCCCACAAGCGAGAUGCAGAAAUUUUAUUUCAGUCAGUGAGUGCAAGUCCUUUCUUCCUGUUGCUAGUUAUAAGAUGCUCGAGAGAGCUGCAAUAGAAGCAGAUGCUCAUAAUGGAGAUCGAAUCUUUUGCCCGUUUCAGAAUUGUUCAGGGUUGAUCAAUUGUGUCAAUCAUUUGUCUUCUAGAGCAAGCUCAUCAACUCAGCCAGACAUCAACUGUGUUGAGUGCCCAGAGUGUCACAGAGAUAUAUGUAUUGGCUGUCGUGUACCAUGGCAUUCUUUGAUGACAUGUGAUGAGUAUCAGAACCUACCUGCAGAAGAGAGAGAUGCAAGGGAUAUCACUUUGCAUCAAUUGGCACAAAAUGCUAGGCAGAGACGCUGCCAGCAGUGCAGGCAAAUGAUUGAGCUCGCAGAUGGGGGCUACCACAUGACCUGCUGGUGCGGGCAUGAGUUCUGCUAUUUAUGUGGUGCUGAAUAUAGGAAUGGGAUUCAGACAUGUCAAUGUGCCUUUUGGGGUGAGAAUAGCCUGGAAUCCUCUGCAACGUCGAAUCAAGAGUCAGAGCUGUGGACUUGGGAGUCUUUUGAUUCUCUGCCGACGGUUAUGGAUGAGUACUCGGAGCAAGAAAGAGCACAACUGGCUCUGAUACAAAGGUUUCUUGCUGGAGGAUUCAGCCUUAGUGAACACCACCACCCUUCCCAAUCACCCCCUCGGUGUUCUGACUCAUACAUGGAUACCAUGAGAGACCUCCACCAGCUCCCAUGGCUCGAGAGGUUUGUAUCUGUGAUUAGUGAUAGCUACCAUGAGGAUUUUGUCCAGUGAAUUCAGUUCAGCAUCCUGCUGCACACUGUUUCUGGCUAAUAAAUGCUGGCAUUUCUCAAAACAUGGGGUAAAGGCGUACAGGUUGGCUAGUGGCAGACAAGGCUGACAGAUGAUGAGGGAAAUCAUCCUUAAAAGUGCCCCAUAUGUGAUCCUAUUCUUCCUGUAAGUAGCCAAGGAACAAUGAUAAUGAAAUGUUCUCAACCUAACACAAAACAAAGUCAUAGAUAACCCUAGAUUUGUUGCUGUGUGUGCUUAGCAGGAGAAUGGGCAAUAAAUAAUUACAUCAACUACUCCUUUUAUAUAAGAGAUAGUUAUCACAAUGUUCUUUAAAGUUAUUUGCCCAACUGAGUGCAAACAGAAGGUACCUUAAUAAUUGAGCACUUUAUAUCCUGUGAAUAGUUGCAGUUCUGGUGCGCUUGUCCUUGGAUGUCUGCUCCAAGAUGGCUUUCUUGACCAAGAAAAGAUUAGCAUUGAGGACAGACAUCCUAUGAUGAAUUCUCAGUAUCUUUUUCUCAAACUUGCCCCUGCCUCCCAUCUUCCUCUCUCCAAUACAUCUUCUAGUUGAUACUAACAGAGUAAAAGAAACUCACUCACUGAAUGCAAUUUUACACAUCUGAAAGUUAAUAGAAUGUCCUCAGGAAUUAGAAAUGCUUCUCAAUUUCAUAAAUUUUUCUCAAGAAUUAUUAGGAUCAUCUGUUGAUUGGACUGAAUGAUUUUUCCAUGAGUUGAUAAGGAUAUAUAAAAGGAGUAAAUGAGAAGGCCUCUAUAUUCCUAAUGCUCAAUAAGGAGCUGCUGUAAUUGUUGGAAUCUGUUGUAUGUCUACACCAUAUGUUUUAGUAGCUACUCUAUGCUUUUAAAAAUAUUUCUGAUAUAAAUCACACAGAACCAACUACAAGGGAACAAAUGUUUACAAUUAUAGCAUAAGUAAUAUGUAGUAUUGUACUAUGAUAUAUAUAUAUAUAUAUAUAUAUAUAUAUAUAUAUAUACACUUUAUAAACAAUAUUCUUUUGUUCAAUUUCAUUUCUUUUAUUAUAUAUAUUUAUUUAUCUUUAUACUUAAUAUGACUACACAAAAUAAUUGAAGUAAAAUACAUAAAACUAAGGAGGAGACAGAAUGAUGACUAAUAUAGUGUGACUAAUAAAAGGUGGAGCAAAAGGGUGUGUUGAUAUUUUUUAGAAAGAGGAGGUGCUAAGAUGGAAUAAUAUUUUAUUUGGAAAUUAAUAUUGUUCCCAUUACCAAUUAUGAUUGUCAUCAACUAGUUUAAGUUAUUGUAUAUAAUGAAUUACCUAAAAUAUGUUUAUUAUUAUUAUUUUUCAAUCAGACUAGUUUUCUACAUGAUAUCAUAUAUAUAUAUAUAUAUAAUCUUUAACUAAUAAUCAUAUCAUGGUCAGUUGGCUUUGAUUAAUUACUAACGCAUGCAUCAUAUGCUAAUUUACAAUUUUUGCUAUAUAUAUAAAUAUAAAUAAAUUAAAAGAAAUAUGAAGGUCUUUUUCCAAAAAAUUCUCAAAGAAAAGAAAAGAAAAGAAAGCUUCUACAUUUAAUUUUAAUUUUAAUUUAGUUAAAUUCAAAUAAUAAUAAAUAAAUGGAAGGGAAUACUCUCUCGUCUCGUCUUUCCCAUCGCGAGCGAGUGCUCUCUUAGUCUGCAAUGAGAUGGAAACUCUGUGAGCCCACCACUGCAAUGCUUGAUGGAUGUCCAAUUGUUUCUUGUUCAAGUUGUCCAACAUUGAUUGUGCCCCCUCUCAACUCACAGGAUCACAGCAAAAUCCUUCUUUGCUACAAGAAGUAUGCCACUCAUAAGGAUCAAUGGAAGCUCUACAAAUGGAAUUAUGAAGCUCGGAACGCAUUUUAGGAGCUUCUUCUGAUGAACAGUGAGUUAAGUCAGGACAUGAAGCAAUUUCUUUUUUCCUUAAGAUAAAUUCCAUAAGAUAUCAAAGAAAGCUGCACUCAUGUAUGUGGACAAGUGGUGCUCGAGCACUCAUUUUACAGAAGAUGUUGUAGAUGUUUGUUAAUUUACAAUAUUAUUUUAUGAAAA
Musa acuminata AAA Group (dessert banana) is the source of this 4323-nucleotide RNA transcript. It is a transcript of the gene named E3 ubiquitin-protein ligase RSL1, with no coding region annotated. The transcript has 6 exons. NCBI's taxonomy places the organism in Eukaryota, Viridiplantae, Streptophyta, Magnoliopsida, Zingiberales, Musaceae. The record is from RefSeq and is a predicted model, not a curated record.